GUUGGGUUAAGUCCCGCAACGAGCGCAACCCUCGGUCCUUAGUUGCUAACAGUUCGGCUGAGCACUCUAGGGAGACUGCCUUCGCAAGGAGGAGGAAGGUGAGGACACGUCAAGUCAUCAUGGCCCUUACGGCCAGGGCUACACACGUGCUACAAUGGGGCGUACAGAGAGCUGCGAUACCGCGAGGUGGAGCCAAUCUCUUAAAGCGUCUCUCAGUUCGGAUUGUUCUCUGCAACUCGAGAACAUGAAGCUGGAAUCACUAGUAAUCGCAGAUCAGCUAUGCUGCGGUGAAUACGUUCCCGGGUCUU
This 308-nucleotide ribosomal RNA is filed under the name uncultured Sulfuricurvum sp. RNAcentral's name for it is "bacterial SSU rRNA". It matches the Rfam family "Bacterial small subunit ribosomal RNA", at positions 1074 to 1382 of the family's 1533-position model. Lineage: Bacteria; Pseudomonadati; Campylobacterota; Epsilonproteobacteria; Campylobacterales; Sulfurimonadaceae. The record is from RNAcentral.